RNAcentral lists this long non-coding RNA (2107 nucleotides) under Homo sapiens (human). RNAcentral describes it as "HSALNT0147212". Lineage: Eukaryota; Metazoa; Chordata; Mammalia; Primates; Hominidae. The record is from RNAcentral.
GUAACAAUUACUUUUAGUUGUAAGAACCAGUCUCACAACUUGCAAUUAUGGCCAUAGAAUUUUAGCGGUGCACACUAGCACGCACUUCAGAAAUUAUCUAGUCCAGAUCCUUCUUAUAGAUAAAGCAACUGAAGACAACACGGUGACUGGGUGACCUUGGGCAAUUCACCUAUCUUCUCACUUUUCUUAUCAAAUUGAUCUCAGCAGUUCCUAUACGUUUAAGGGUUAUUUUAAGGAAUGGAUAAUAAAAGGCUGGGCACAGUGGUUCACAUUUGUAAUUCCAGCAUUUUGGGAGGCCAAGGCAGGAGAAACAAUUGAGCCCAGGUGUUUGAGACUAGCCUAGGCAACAUACCAAGACCCAGUCUCUAAAAAAAAAAAAGGUUAAAAAUUAGCAGGGCAUGGUGGUGCAUGAAGUCCUAGGUACUCAGGAGGCUGAGGCGGGUGGAUCAUUUGAGCCCAGGAGUUUGAAGUCACAGAGAAGCGCUGUUGCCGUCUGGGAUAAAUAUCAGAGGUUUCUUGUCUCAUGCCAAGGGAAUCAAGAACGCAGACACAUAAGAAGUUAAUUUAAGAGCAUUGGUUUAAUAGGCAAAAGGAAGAGAAAAGGGAAUACCUCUCUCUCUUACAGAGAGAGGGGCUCCUGAGUGGGACUUUUGGUCUCAUGGUGAAACGCAAAGGGUUUUGUAGACAAGCUUGUGGAGGCAGUGUCUGAGUUACAUAGUGCCCGAGAGAUUGGAUGGACCAGGUGUGCCAUUUACAUAGCACGCAAAGAAGCUGGCUACCCCACCCGAAUCUUUUAUUAUGCAGAUGGUCCUCUAUCUGGCCGGAGCCAUGUUGCCUGUUUCUUUACUGUACACAUGGUUGACAAAGAAAAGGGAAAAUGGAGCCUCCAUGUUGAACAUGCCCCACCCCCAGUUAGCCUUUUCCUAUUGGCACAGCUGUUGGCAUUUACCUAUGCAAGCUUCCAGCUUGCUUAUUUAUGUCUGCAGCUCAAUUUUUCAGGCUGCUCUUUGUUAGAAAAGAAAUGAUUUAGGAGCUACUUGGUAAGAACCCUCAGUAUCGGCCUAAAUAAUUUCUUUCUAGUUCCAGUAUCAACAGUGAGCUGUGGGCCAGGUGUGGUGGCUCAUGCCUGUAAUCCUAGCAUUUUGGGAGGCUGAGGUGGGCAGAUCACUUGAGAUCAGCAAUUCAAGACCAGCCUGGCCAACAUGGUGAAACCCCUGUCUCUACUAAAAAUACAAAAAUUAGCCAGGCAUGGUGGCUCAUGCUUGUAAAUCCAGCUAUUCGGGAGACUGAGGCAGGAGAAUCGCUUGAACCCAGGAGGCAGAGGUUGCAGUUAGCUGAGAUUAUGCCACUGCACUCCAGCCUGGCUGACAGAGUGAGACUCCAUCUCAGAAACAAACAAAUCAGUGACAAAUCAGUGACAAACAAACCAAUGCAUUCUAGCCUGGUAACAGAGUGAGACCCUGUCUCUAAAAAGAAAAAGAAAAAAGCCCUGUACAGUGGCUCACGCGUGUAAUCCUAACACUUUGGGAGGCCAAGGCGGGAGGAUUGCUUGAGCCUAGGAGUUUGAGACCAGCCUGGGCAAUAUGGCGAAACCCCGUCUCUGCAAAAAAAUACAAAAAGUAGCUGUGACAGCGUAUGCCUGUAGUCCCAGGUACUUGGGAGGCCGAGGUGGGAGGAUCGCUUGAGCCUGGGAGGCAGAGAUUGCAGGAGCCACAAUCGCACCUCUGCACUUCAGACUGGGCCGCAGAACAAGAACCUGUGUCAAAAAAAAAAAAGAAAAAGUAUGAAUGACAUGAUGCAAGUGAAACACAGCAGUAAAUCAUUCAAUAAAUGUUCGUUAUGACCAUGGAUACAACUAAACAGUCCUGAAUUUGCUAUUUACAUUAGUUCGGAAAGUCCCUAAAUAUCUCUGGAUCUCAGUUUUAACAAUCCAUGAAAUGAAUGAGAAGGUUAGACUAAGUCAGUGGUUCAAGUUGUGCUGUGGAGUCCUAGGGCUUCCCUGAAGGACAGCAGAGAGGGGCUGGGAGGCCAGCAGACAGCCACAGAAUAACCUACCUUUCUUCAACCAAAGCUGUUUAGCUUUCCUCUUCUUAAAUUUUUGUUUGAG